Molecule: ribosomal RNA, 399 nt
Filed under: uncultured bacterium
Lineage: Bacteria
Description: partial 16S ribosomal RNA
Rfam family: Bacterial small subunit ribosomal RNA
Source: RNAcentral
GAAUAUUGCUCAAUGGAGGAGACUCUGAUGCAGCGACGCCGCGUGAACGAUGAAGGCUUUCGAGUCGUAAAGUUCUGUCCUAGGGGACGAUAAUGACGGUACCCCAGGCGGAAGCCCCGGCUAACUACGUCCCAGCAGCCGCGGUAAUACGUAGGGGGCAAGCGUUGUCCGGAAUUAUUGGGCGUAAAGGGUUCGCAGGUGGCCUUUUAAGUCAGAUGUGAAAGCCCACGGCUUAACCGUGGUAAGCAUUUGAAACUGGAAGGCUUGAGUUAAGGAGAGGAAAGUGGAAUUCCUAGUGUAGUGGUGAAAUGCGUAGAUAUUAGGAGGAAUACAAGUGGCGAAGGCGACUUUCUGGACUUAUACUGACACUGAGGAACGAAAGCGUGGGGAGCAAACAGG